GAAGAGCUGAGAAAAUUAUGACCCUCAUGAGAACUAGAAAUGGAAAACAACCUAGCACUAACAGCACUGCAAGCUCGAAACAUAUCUUAGUUCCUGGUGGAGGACAUACGGCUAGGGCCAAUAAUCUUGAUAUAAGAGAAGACAACACUGUGAGAACAUCAAAAAGUCCAUUUGAAGCUUGGGGCGUCAAAUUUAUGGAAUCAAAAGAGAAACCUGUAGCCACAAGGAGUUUUACUUUGGGCCCACAAUUUUUACAAAGAGCUGGGGUGAACAGCACAACCAGCUCGAGUAAUUUACUGCUAGCUGGGGGCAGAAAGUUAAUCAACGUUGGAGGGGGCAGUGUGAAAAACUUGGCAAAUGCGCAUGUGGAUGGAAGCGACAAACUCACACUGUCUAAAACUCCACAUGUGCCGGGAAGCGACAACCUCACUGUGUCUAAAACUCCACAUAUGGCUGGGAUGAGCAGCACAACCAGCUCGAGUAAUUUACUGCUAGCUGGGGGCAGAAAGUUAAU
RNAcentral lists this unclassified non-coding RNA (514 nucleotides) under Hevea brasiliensis (rubber tree). The record is from RNAcentral. Lineage: Eukaryota; Viridiplantae; Streptophyta; Magnoliopsida; Malpighiales; Euphorbiaceae.